Molecule: ribosomal RNA, 484 nt
Filed under: uncultured bacterium
Lineage: Bacteria
Description: partial 16S ribosomal RNA
Rfam family: Bacterial small subunit ribosomal RNA
Source: RNAcentral
AUUGAACGCUAGCGGGAUGCUUUACACAUGCAAGUCGAACGGCAGCGCGGACUUCGGUCUGGCGGCGAGUGGCGAACGGGUGAGUAAUGUAUCGGAACGUGCCCAGUAGCGGGGGAUAACUACGCGAAAGCGUAGCUAAUACCGCAUACGCCCUACGGGGGAAAGCAGGGGAUCGUAAGACCUUGCACUAUUGGUGCGGCCGAUAUCGGAUUAGAUAGUUGGUGAGGUAACGGCUCACCAAGGCGACGAUCCGUAGCUGGUUUGAGAGGACGACCAGCCACACUGGGACUGAGACACGGCCCAGACUCCUACGGGAGGCAGCAGUGGGGAAUUUUAGACAAUGGGGGCAACCCUGAUCCAGCCAUCCCGCGUGUGCGAUGAAGGCCUUCGGGUUGUAAAGCACUUUUGGCAGGAAAGAAACGUCGCGGGCUAAUACCCCGUGGAACUGACGGUACCUGCAGAAUAAGCACCGGCUAACUACGUG